RNAcentral lists this ribosomal RNA (253 nucleotides) under uncultured bacterium. Its description in RNAcentral is "partial 16S ribosomal RNA". It matches the Rfam family "Bacterial small subunit ribosomal RNA", at positions 524 to 776 of the family's 1533-position model. The record is from RNAcentral.
UACGGAGGAUGCGAGCGUUAUCCGGAAUUAUUGGGUUUAAAGGGUCCGCAGGCGGACAGGUAAGUCAGUAGUGAAAAACCUGGGCUUAACCCCGGUCGUGCUACAGAAACUGCCUGACUAGAGAAAGUUUGGCGUUGGCGGAAUAUGUCAUGUAGCGGUGAAAUGCAUAGAUAUGACAUAGAACACCGAUUGCGAAGGCAGCUUACUACACGAUCAUUGACGCUGAGGCACGAAAGCGUGGGGAGCAAACAGG